ACCCUCUCAGGGUCACACCUGGAGAGAUUCCAGUACUCUACCAGUCUCGACUAUAGAAAGGAGAGUCAGGCAGAGGCCUACUCAUUCCAUUCCUAGCUUGGGCAAUGGCUAGCGAGUGGAAGGCCAUCUGCUACAAGU
Ornithorhynchus anatinus (platypus) is the source of this 138-nucleotide non-coding RNA. The record is from Rfam. Lineage: Eukaryota; Metazoa; Chordata; Mammalia; Monotremata; Ornithorhynchidae.